Molecule: ribosomal RNA, 492 nt
Filed under: uncultured bacterium
Lineage: Bacteria
Description: partial 16S ribosomal RNA
Rfam family: Bacterial small subunit ribosomal RNA
Source: RNAcentral
AGUGAACGCUGGCGGUAGGCCUAACACAUGCAAGUCGAACGGCAGCACAGUAAGAGCUUGCUCUUACGGGUGGCGAGUGGCGGACGGGUGAGGAAUACAUCGGAAUCUACUUUUUCGUGGGGGAUAACGUAGGGAAACUUACGCUAAUACCGCAUACGACCUACGGGUGAAAGCAGGGGAUCUUCGGACCUUGCGCGAUUGAAUGAACCGAUGUCGGAUUAGCUAGUUGGCGGGGUAAAGGCCCACCAAGGCGACGAUCCGUAGCUGGUCUGAGAGGAUGAUCAGCCACACUGGAACUGAGACACGGUCCAGACUCCUACGGGAGGCAGCAGUGGGGAAUAUUGGACAAUGGGCGCAAGCCUGAUCCAGCCAUACCGCGUGGGUGAAGAAGGCCUUCGGGUUGUAAAGCCCUUUUGUUGGGAAGGAAAAGCAGCAGGUUAAUACCUCGCUGUUCUGACGGUACCCAAAGAAUAAGCACCGGCUAACUUCGUG